ACCUGCCUGUGCCUUGUAAUGUGAGCCUGUAUUUCUUUCACGGUGAAGCGAUUCGUAGCAUGUUACGUCAUCUGUCAAGCGGGUUGCACAGCGCAACCAACCUCCAGGCACACCUUAUUCACGAGAUUUUGAAGAACACCUUGGAUGGGAACUCACCUCAGCAUCUUGCAAAGCGUCUACCACACGACAUAUAAAAUGCGGAGAAACAUUGAUGUGGAAUUCAAACCCACGAUAACAAGACAGCGGCCAUUUUGAUGGGGUUACGUUGUUCUCUUUUGUCGAUUAAUCGGUAGGAACAUUGUACCUUUUAUUAUAACCUCGAAAUAAAAUAAUAUUUCAUGCA
Molecule: non-coding RNA, 343 nt
Organism: Zootermopsis nevadensis
Lineage: Eukaryota; Metazoa; Arthropoda; Insecta; Blattodea; Termopsidae
Source: RefSeq, a predicted model, not a curated record